This is a non-coding RNA of Pelobates cultripes (western spadefoot toad), 117 nucleotides long. The record is from the annotation of a GenBank genome assembly. NCBI's taxonomy places the organism in Eukaryota, Metazoa, Chordata, Amphibia, Anura, Pelobatidae.
AUCUGCAGGUAUGGUGACAUGGUUCCGGACACAAUUGCUGGGAAGAUAUUUGGUUCCAUUUGCUCACUUAGUGGAGUGUUGGUUAUUGCACUUCCCGUACCAGUCAUUGUGUCAAAU